Long non-coding RNA from Thalassophryne amazonica, 351 nucleotides. RefSeq lists it as uncharacterized. Lineage: Eukaryota; Metazoa; Chordata; Actinopteri; Batrachoidiformes; Batrachoididae. The transcript has 3 exons. The record is from RefSeq and is a predicted model, not a curated record.
AGGGAAGAAAAAAACCUGACAUGAAUCCUGUUACGCUCUGCAUUACUGUACAUAAUAUACAAACUGGUCCUUCGUUUUUAUUUCUGCUCACCGGUGCCGAUACUGACGGAGAUUAAAAGAUAGAGAUAAAUAAUUAAGCAGGUAUCUAUCUCUAAAGGACAAGAGGUGAAUAUGGCAUGUUAAGUCCAACAAAACAAGCAAAAUCAAAGCCUUGAUGAUACAAAUGUUACAAGGACAUGUUCAGAUUCUACAAGACAUCAAUUCAUACAGUAACCAGCUUAAAGAACAAAAUGUGAUUAAAGCAGCACAUUGUGCUCGUAACUGAAGAAAAGAAACAUAAGAAGAAGAAUU